Long non-coding RNA from Polypterus senegalus (gray bichir), 1155 nucleotides. RefSeq lists it as uncharacterized. The record is from RefSeq and is a predicted model, not a curated record. The transcript has 3 exons. NCBI's taxonomy places the organism in Eukaryota, Metazoa, Chordata, Cladistia, Polypteriformes, Polypteridae.
UAUAUAUAUAUAUAUAUAUAUAUAUAUAUAUAUAUAUAUAUAUAUAUAUAUAUAUAGUGUAACUGCCUUUAGAGUGAUAGACUGAAAGCUAACAAUGUAACACCGUGGAAGAUCAUUUUAAAAGGAGUUUGCAGUGGAGAUUCAUAUUUUGACUUGUCUCUGCUUUUCUUAUUCCUAAACUAGAUCAGUUAAUUAAAAGGGAUCAAAAAUAAUGGUACUGUGUUUACCUAUAUCCAUAAUAAUUGUACCACACACCAAAGACAUUUAAUGUAUUAUUAAUUUCCAGAAAUUGCUUUCUGCCAAUCCUGAUGACAAAGAUGUAAGCCACAAAGCAUAAUCUUACAAGAUAAUGUUGAUUUCUGCAUAGCAUCUUGCUAAAAUAAUUAGAAAAUAUCUUGGUAUCGUAUUACAGGUUUUUGUUUGUCAGUGGGUCAGUGCCACGUGAAAUAUACAGUAUAUAAGCUUGAUAUAAAUUUUCUUUAUUAUUUAAAACUGACAUAGUCAGUCCAUGAAACAUUUUUAUAAUGUGCCUCAGUUAAUAUGUGUGACAUUUCCUUCACUGAUGGAUAUUGUCAGUGUUUUUAAUGCCAAAUAAACUGUGCUACAAUAAUGACAUGUAGACAAACUUGCCAUUGCUCUACAAAGUAUUUUACCAAUCAGUUCUCUGUGAAGCCAUAUUUCAUAAUAGAACAAAAUUAUAAGACAUCAUUUUGUAUAAUUUCUAAAGAAGUAACUAUAUUGAGUGUUUAUAUUAAUACUAAUCAUGGUUUUGUUGGAUUUCCCAUCAUGGUUUGCAAUGUAUAAUACAGUAUUUACAAUAUAAAAGAAAGUAAACAGAAUAAAAUGGGAAUUCUGUUUCAUCCACAGUCUUGUCUGUUUCUCUUUCUAAUGUUUUUAAACUGAAAUAAAACAGUUACUAAUUGUACCUUUGAUUUAUUGUAGCGUCAUUAGCCAGGUGGAGUGGUUUGAUGCUCUGAAUUGCGUAGGACUCGGGUUAAAGAUUCCAGCUACUCUGAAUCUUGUGUCAUGGCCAACAGCAGCAGCUAGGAGUCAGCAGUGAAAUCAUUUCUUAUAACAGAACACUAAAGAGAUGAUUGCAAAUGAAUCAAUAAGAAAUGAAAUGUGAAGUGAGGGAGCCAACAGAAGACUAACCAA